This 465-nucleotide ribosomal RNA is filed under the name uncultured Veillonellaceae bacterium. RNAcentral's name for it is "bacterial SSU rRNA". It matches the Rfam family "Bacterial small subunit ribosomal RNA", at positions 338 to 795 of the family's 1533-position model. Lineage: Bacteria; Bacillati; Bacillota; Negativicutes; Veillonellales; Veillonellaceae. The record is from RNAcentral.
CCUACGGGGGGCAGCAGUAGGGAAUCUUCCGCAAUGGGCGAAAGCCUGACGGAGCAACGCCGCGUGAGUGAAGAAGAUCUUCGGAUCGUAAAGCUCUGUUGCCGGGGACGAAUGUAGGCAGUGCGAACAGCAUUGUGUAAUGACGGUACCCGGCGAGGAAGCCACGGCUAACUACGUGCCAGCAGCCGCGGUAAUACGUAGGUGGCGAGCGUUGUCCGGAAUUAUUGGGCGUAAAGGGAGCGCAGGCGGGCGAGUAAGUCUUUCUUAAAAGUGCGGGGCUCAACCCCGUGAGGGGAGAGAAACUACUCAUCUUGAGUGCAGGAGAGGAAAGCGGAAUUCCUAGUGUAGCGGUGAAAUGCGUAGAUAUUAGGAAGAACACCAGUGGCGAAGGCGGCUUUCUGGACUGUAACUGACGCUGAGGCUCGAAAGCCAGGGGAGCGAACGGGAUUAGAUACCCCAGUAGUC